GACGAACGCUGGCGGCGUGCUUAACACAUGCAAGUCGAACGGAAAUGCCCGGCUUUUGUUGGGUGCUGGAGUGGCGAACGGGUGAGUAACACGUGAGUAACCUGCCCUUGACUUGGGGAUAACUUCUGGUAACUGGGGCGAAUACCUGAUAGGAGCUCCUGCUGCAUGGGGGGGGUUGGAAAGUUUAGGCGGUUGGGGAUGGACUCGCGGCUUAUCAGCUUGGUGUUGGGGUAGUGUCUUACCAAGGCUUUGACGGGUAGCCGGCCUGAGAUGGUGACCGGCCCCAUCGGGCUUGAGCUGCGGCCCAGACUACACCGGGAGGCAGCGGUGCAGAAUAGAGCACAAUGCGAGGAGGGCAGGUCUAGUACCGCCGCGCCGGGGAUGACGGCAAUGCGGUUGUAAACCGAAUUCGCCUGUGACGAAGCGUGAGUGACGGUACUGGGUAAAGAAGCACCGGCUAACUACGUG
RNAcentral lists this ribosomal RNA (468 nucleotides) under uncultured bacterium. Its description in RNAcentral is "partial 16S ribosomal RNA". It matches the Rfam family "Bacterial small subunit ribosomal RNA", at positions 28 to 507 of the family's 1533-position model. The record is from RNAcentral.